Molecule: ribosomal RNA, 1245 nt
Filed under: 'Sesamum indicum' phyllody phytoplasma Meerut-UP
Lineage: Bacteria; Bacillati; Mycoplasmatota; Mollicutes; Acholeplasmatales; Acholeplasmataceae
Description: bacterial SSU rRNA
Rfam family: Bacterial small subunit ribosomal RNA
Source: RNAcentral
UCUGCCCCUAAGACGAGGAUAACAGUUGGAAACGACUGCUAAGACUGGAUAGGAGACAAGAAGGCAUCUUCUUGUUUUUAAAAGACCUAGCAAUAGGUAUGCUUAGGGAGGAGCUUGCGUCACAUUAGUUAGUUGGUGGGGUAAAGGCCUACCAAGACUAUGAUGUGUAUCAGGGCUGAGAGGUUGAACGGCCACAUUGGGACUGAGACACGGCCCAAACUCCUACGGGAGGCAGCAGUAGGGAAUUUUCGGCAAUGGAGGAAACUCUGACCGAGCAACGCCGCGUGAACGAUGAAGUAUUUCGGUACGUAAAGUUCUUUUAUUAGGGAAGAAUAAAUGAUGGAAAAAUCAUUCUGACGGUACCUAAUGAAUAAGCCCCGGCUAACUAUGUGCCAGCAGCCGCGGUAAUACAUAAGGGGCAAGCGUUAUCCGGAAUUAUUGGGCGUAAAGGGUGCGUAGGCGGUUAAAUAAGUUUAUGGGUCUAAGUGCAAUGCUCAACAUUGUGAUGCUAUAAAAACUGUUUAGCUAGAGUAAGAUAGAGGCAAGUGGGAAUUCCAUGUGUAGUGGUAAAAUGCGUAAAUAUAUGGAGGAACACCAGUAGCGAAGGCGGCUUGCUGGGUCUUUACUGACGCUGAGGCACGAAAGCGUGGGGAGCAAACAGGAUUAGAUACCCUGGUAGUCCACGCCGUAAACGAUGAGUACUAAACGUUGGGUAAAACCAGUGUUGAAGUUAACACAUUAAGUACUCCGCCUGAGUAGUACGUACGCAAGUAUGAAACUUAAAGGAAUUGACGGGACUCCGCACAAGCGGUGGAUCAUGUUGUUUAAUUUGAAGGUACCCGAAAAACCUCACCAGGUCUUGACAUGCUUCUGCAAAGCUGUAGAAACACAGUGGAGGUUAUCAGUUGCACAGGUGGUGCAUGGUUGUCGUCAGCUCGUGUCGUGAGAUGUUGGGUUAAGUCCCGCAACGAGCGCAACCCUUAUUGUUAGUUACCAGCACGUAAUGGUGGGGACUUUAGCAAGACUGCCAGUGAUAAAUUGGAGGAAGGUGGGGACGACGUCAAAUCAUCAUGCCCCUUAUGACCUGGGCUACAAACGUGAUACAAUGGCUGUUACAAAGGGUAGCUGAAGCGCAAGUUUUUGGCGAAUCUCAAAAAAACAGUCUCAGUUCGGAUUGAAGUCUGCAACUCGACUUCAUGAAGUUGGAAUCGCUAGUAAUCGCGAAUCAGCAUGUCGCGGUGAAUA